AUAGUACUCCCUCCGUCCGGAAAUACUUGUCAAAGAAAUGGGUAAAAAUGAAUGUAUUUAGAACUAAAAUGUGUCUAGAUACAUCCAUUUCUCCGACGAGUAUUUUCGGACGGAGGGAGUAAUUC
Non-coding RNA from Triticum urartu, 125 nucleotides. The record is from Rfam. NCBI's taxonomy places the organism in Eukaryota, Viridiplantae, Streptophyta, Magnoliopsida, Poales, Poaceae.